This 253-nucleotide ribosomal RNA is filed under the name uncultured bacterium. RNAcentral's name for it is "partial 16S ribosomal RNA". It matches the Rfam family "Bacterial small subunit ribosomal RNA", at positions 524 to 776 of the family's 1533-position model. The record is from RNAcentral.
UACGUAGGUGGCAAGCGUUGUCCGGAAUUAUUGGGCGUAAAGCGCGCGCAGGCGGUCCUUUAAGUCUGAUGUGAAAGCCCACGGCUCAACCGUGGAGGGUCAUUGGAAACUGGGGGACUUGAGUGCAGAAGAGGAUAGUGGAAUUCCAAGUGUAGCGGUGAAAUGCGUAGAGAUUUGGAGGAACACCAGUGGCGAAGGCGACUAUCUGGUCUGUAACUGACACUGAGGCGCGAAAGCGUGGGGAGCGAUCCGG